This 253-nucleotide ribosomal RNA is filed under the name uncultured bacterium. Its description in RNAcentral is "partial 16S ribosomal RNA". It matches the Rfam family "Bacterial small subunit ribosomal RNA", at positions 524 to 776 of the family's 1533-position model. The record is from RNAcentral.
UACGUAGGGUGCAAGCGUUGUCCGGAAUUAUUGGGCGUAAAGAGCUCGUAGGCGGUCUGUCGCGUCGGCUGUGAAAACUCGGGGCUUAACCCCGAGCCUGCAGUGGAUACGGGCAGACUAGAGGUAGGUAGGGGAGAAUGGAAUUCCCGGUGUAGCGGUGAAAUGCGCAGAUAUCGGGAGGAACACCGGUGGCGAAGGCGGUUCUCUGGGCCUUACCUGACGCUGAGGAGCGAAAGCGUGGGGAGCGAACAGG